RNAcentral lists this long non-coding RNA (1779 nucleotides) under Homo sapiens (human). Its description in RNAcentral is "HSALNT0301807". The record is from RNAcentral. Lineage: Eukaryota; Metazoa; Chordata; Mammalia; Primates; Hominidae.
UUUGGCUCCUUUCCCUUGAGUUCUGCACCUUAAACUAAAGAAGUCAGUCACGCGAGGCUGGCUUGCUGGAACCGGCUAGAAAAUGCAGCCCUGCCUGCCGCAGGGAUCUCCUCCGGUAUGGCCACACAUAUGAGUUCUGGCAAUGCCCAUUAGUGAUAUGGCCGAUAGUUUCUUCUGUCUUGCUUCCAGGAACCUUUUCUUGGUUUGAAGCCACCGAACCAGAAGAGAGAAUUUUUACCACUUUGAGGACUUCUUGUGACGAAUCCAAUGGGAAUUCCAUAAUAUUCAGAAACAAAACAUUUUGAGGGCCAACAAAUUAUUAAGCCCUUUGCUAGGUCUUAGAGAUACAAAGAUAAAGAAGACUGGAGUUUUCUUUUUAUUAUCUACCAGACUGAAGGCCACUGCCUGGGGACUUGAUCUAAGAGAAGAAAUAUCAGGAGACCUGGGUUUGGCUCCUGGCUCUGCCAGGUGAUCAUGGAGCAGUCACGUAUUAUCCCUGAGCUUCCGUUUCCUCAUCUACUUAAUUAGUGAUGGGUCUACAGGGCCUUGCUGGGGUCCACUUCUGACAUUCUGUGUUGCAUGGACCAUGUCAGAGAAGAUGGAGACACCUUCACGGCCUGUUAGUCACAUCUCACCAAAGCUUCUCAAUGGGCUGUCAGACAAGAAAGGAGCCUCCUGUAGCCAUCUUAAUCAGCAUCCCCCAUCUGUGAGGUCAUCGGGAUAUUUCAAACAAUCUUCAGCUCUCAUUAGUUGAGUGCGUUUCACAGGCAAGUCCUUAUCUUUUGUAACUUUUGCUGCCACAUCCUGAGAAAGGCCUCUCUGCAGAAUGACACUUUCCCUAUGGGUCAGCCCGCCAUAAUGAGCCACCAACUGAGGUGCCCUUUGCACUCACUAGCUGUAUAUGUUGAUAUUAACCUUUCGUGUUGCGAGAUGUCGCUUUUACCCUUGGCUUCUGCCAUGUAAGUCUCAUUAUUUCUAAUAGGCUGUGGCAAUUAGGGUCUUGGGGCUGCUGAUCGCAGCCAUGUGGAGCGGGGAAGGGGCACUGGGGAGAGCAGUUGCUUUUUCUUUCAUGAACAAUGUGAUGCAUAGCUCAGCCCAGAUCUGCAAACAGCGAGCUGUAGUAGACCUCCGGCCGAGGAUGGGAAAUUCCACACCCAGCGCUUUCACAUGUCCUUUCUUCACGCCAACUACUGGCUAUUUGCAAAUCCCUUUUGUGUAGAAUGACAUGCUUGGCAGAUAUUUCAGCACAUUGGAUUUGGCCUAAUAAGGAAUUUAUUAAACAAGAUUAUUUGGGGAUAAAAUGGAUACAUUCAAAGACACUCUUUUUUUUUCUUUUAAAGAUAGUUGUCCGGAAAAGGAAGAGGAUGACACUGAUGACCAGCCGUCUUGGGUGGUUCACAGGCUCACUAAGGAGGCAGUGUUGAGCCUGACGGAUCUGUGAAGGCCCCUCCGACUUGUAACUGUAAAAUGAUGACUCUUGAUGGAACUCUACAGUUGUUGACACCUGGUGGGCCACCUACAGCUGAAGGUUCAAAGUGAUAAAACAAACCUGGUACGGAAAUAACUGAUUGUGGAACGCGAAGGACCUGUGAUCAUGCAAAGGUGACAGAGCAGACACUGAUAGUAGAACUGUGGAGAAGUAUCCCUGGAGAUGACCCACAAUCUCAAGAAGGCUGAAGAGGAGAGGAAGAGAAUGGAUAAAUCGAAACAAGUGUUUAGAUGAUCAAGGCCUUAUAAGCCAUACCGCCAUGUAAGACGUGCCAUUCACCUUCCACCAUG